Molecule: long non-coding RNA, 333 nt
Organism: Physeter macrocephalus (sperm whale)
Lineage: Eukaryota; Metazoa; Chordata; Mammalia; Artiodactyla; Physeteridae
Exons: 3
Source: RefSeq, a predicted model, not a curated record
AACCAGCACCCCAGUUCCUGUUCAGCUGCUGCUCUUUCUGUAAGGCCUUUGCAAGCCUCACUGCCCCUUCUGGUUCACCAGCGGUGAACGAGAGUUCCUGUUGCUCCACAUCCUCAUCAGCACUUGGUGUUGUCAGUGUUCAGGAUUUUGGCCAUUCUGAUAGAUGAAGAAAUUGAAGGUCAGAGGGACAGGGAAUUCCUGAAGUCAUGCAGAAAAUCAGACCCAUCAGGACUAGGAUUAGAGCGAGGUGAGUGAGGCAGCUGCAUGACCCUGAGUGACCCCUCCUGAAAUUUUGCACCCUAGGUAACUCAUUUGCUUCACCCUAGUCUCAGU